UGGGGAAUAUUGCACAAUGGGCGCAAGCCUGAUGCAGCCAUGCCGCGUGUAUGAAGAAGGCCUUCGGGAUGUAAAGUACUUUCAGUCGGGAGGAAGGUGGUAAGGUUAAUAACCUUAUCAAUUGACGUUACCGACAGAAGAAGCACCGGCUAACUCCGUGCCAGCAGCCGCGGUAAUACGGAGGGUGCAAGCGUUAAUCGGAAUUACUGGGCGUAAAGCGCACGCAGGCGGUUGAUUGAGUCAGAUGUGAAAUCCCCGGGCUUAACCCGGGAAUUGCAUCUGAUACUGGUCAGCUAGAGUCUUGUAGAGGGGGGUAGAAUUCCAUGUGUAGCGGUGAAAUGCGUAGAGAUGUGGAGGAAUACCGGUGGCGAAGGCGGCCCCCUGGACAAAGACUGACGCUCAGGUGCGAAAGCGUGGGGAGCAAACAGG
This 429-nucleotide ribosomal RNA is filed under the name Chloroflexota bacterium. Its description in RNAcentral is "Chloroflexi bacterium partial 16S ribosomal RNA". It matches the Rfam family "Bacterial small subunit ribosomal RNA", at positions 355 to 776 of the family's 1533-position model. Lineage: Bacteria; Bacillati; Chloroflexota. The record is from RNAcentral.